RNAcentral lists this microRNA (23 nucleotides) under Equus caballus (horse). RNAcentral describes it as "eca-miR-492". Its record names the gene eca-miR-492. The record is from miRBase by way of RNAcentral. Lineage: Eukaryota; Metazoa; Chordata; Mammalia; Perissodactyla; Equidae.
AGGAGCUGCGGGACAAGAUUCUU